RNAcentral lists this ribosomal RNA (482 nucleotides) under uncultured bacterium. RNAcentral describes it as "partial 16S ribosomal RNA". It matches the Rfam family "Bacterial small subunit ribosomal RNA", at positions 28 to 507 of the family's 1533-position model. The record is from RNAcentral.
GAUGAACGCUAGCGGCAGGCCUAAUACAUGCAAGUCGGACGGGAUUCAGGAGCUUGCUUCUGAUGAGAGUGGCGCACGGGUGCGUAACACGUAUGUAACCUACCUUUAUCAGGGGGAUAGCCUCUCGAAAGAGAGAUUAAGCCCGCAUAAAAUCACAGCACAGCAUUGUGUAAUGAUCAAAUAUUUAUAGGAUAAAGAUGGGCAUGCGGAACAUUAGCUAGAUGGCGGGGUAACGGCCCACCAUGGCGACGAUGUUUAGGGGAUCUGAGAGGAUGGCCCCCCACACUGGUACUGAGACACGGACCAGACUCCUACGGGAGGCAGCAGUAAGGAAUAUUGGUCAAUGGGCGGAAGCCUGAACCAGCCACGCCGCGUGCAGGAAGACGGCCCUACGGGUUGUAAACUGCUUUUAUACGGGAAUAAACCCAGAUACGUGUAUCUGGCUGAAUGUACUGUAAGAAUAAGGAUCGGCUAACUCCGUG